RNAcentral lists this ribosomal RNA (418 nucleotides) under uncultured bacterium. RNAcentral describes it as "bacterial SSU rRNA". It matches the Rfam family "Archaeal small subunit ribosomal RNA", at positions 455 to 871 of the family's 1478-position model. The record is from RNAcentral.
GUGCCAGCCGCCGCGGUAACACCGGCAGCUCAAGUGGUAGCCGCUUUUAUUGGGCCUAAAGCGUCCGUAGCCGGUCUGAUAAGUCUCUGGUGAAAUCCCACAGCUUAACUGUGGGAAUUGCUGGAGAUACUAUCAUGACUCGAGGUCGGGAGAGGCUGGAGGUACUCCCAGGGUAGGGGUGAAAUCCUGUAAUCCUGGGAGGACCACCUGUGGCGAAGGCGUCCAGCUGGAACGAACCUGACGGUGAGGGACGAAAGCCAGGGGCGCGAACCGGAUUAGAUACCCGGGUAGUCCUGGCCGUAAACGAUGUGGACUUGGUGUUGGGAUGGCUUCGAGCUGCCCCAGUGCCGAAGGGAAGCUGUUAAGUCCACCGCCUGGGAAGUACGGCCGCAAGGCUGAAACUCAAAUAAAUUGACGG